UGUUUUGCCUUUGAUGCUGAUGCAGAAAGGUGAAGUACCGGCGGUUCAGAAUUCUGGUGAUGAUCUUUGACACUCAAGCCAGAUAGAUCCUGUCCCAUCAACUGCCUGUCAUAAUGAAAGAAAUAUUUGUUGGUAAUCGAGGGCGCUGAAGAUUAUACAGUAGGCAAGGUUGUAAACUAAUCAGAUUAAGCCAUUGGCUGUGAUCAAUUUUAAUCAUGAUAAUUAUAAAGAAGAAUAGUACCGGUGGUGUUCUUGUAAGCUCUGAAGCUGCUGUCUCAAGCUCGCUGCCUCCCUCUGCCAGAACUAAUGAGUAAAGAGAACACCAUUUAGUCUGAAAUAUUAGCCUAUUACUAUGGUAGAUAUAAUAAUAAUUGAAUAGUGAAACAUUAAUUGACCGUUAAUAUUAUCAGAAGUAUCAAAUACUUUAAGUAAUGCUUUAUCGGCAGCUACCAAAAAUUAGAGUUUUACUGAACAUUCCAGAAUUUGUAAAACAAAUUUAGACAAGUUCCUAUGAAAUAUAGAUUCAAGAGCUUAUAUCUUAAUAUCUAUACAAAUUCUUCCCUGUUUCCUUAUUGUGUGAACUUACUCUUCUCAACCACUGUUUCAGUCUUUCUGAUUGCAAGCCUUCUGUACAGUGAAGCUUGUUUAGCAGGAUCAUCUUCUCCUAUUCAGCAGAUCAUUUUCUGUAUUAAGCUGAAAUAUCUGUUGUUUAAGUAAAUUUUUAGGUAUUAUUAUUAUUUUAACAUUCUAAAAGGAUUUCCUUUGAUCUAACUUGCUGAUAAUUGGUGUCAAAAUAGCGUUUUCUUUCCUCCUCGUAAAUUAGUGGCAUUUCAUGUUCAAAAAAUUGCAGUUGACUGAAAUUAAAAAGUAGAUAUUAUGAUCAUGCACGAGAAGGUAUAUUCAAGCAACUUGAUGAAAACAACAUCAGCUGCUCAGGCGAGAAAUAAGGAAAAAAAUUUAUCUGAUGUUCUGUUGGAAAAAUCUAUCCUUUGUAUUUUGUCAUAUAGUGGAAGUACCCUAGUAAGGUCAAAUUGAGGUUUCAAUUAAGUAGAAAUAAGGGGGAAAUUUAAGCCCAAAUAGAGUUAAUAUGUGAAUCGUGAUUAAUAUAUAUCAAGAUAAAAUUGGAUCCAAGCUCUAUUAGGGUAUUUCUUAUAUUUAUGUUUAACUAUUUUCAGAUUUGGCCUGUCAACUUCUCCUCAUUUGUGUCUGAGUCGAUAUUUUCAUCCAGUAAGUCAGCAAGUAAGAAAUUAAGUCGAACUUUUCUGCAACAAAAAUGUGAAUAGAAAACAAACACAGACUCUUGCAUGACUCCACCUGUUGCUAGUUUUUUGGAUUGCGAGUUUGAGGUUGUACAGUGUUGUAAAAAGUGGAAUAAAGUGCUCAAAAAAGCAGAAACACCUUGCCACUUUGCUAAGACCGUAAGCGGGCUCGACUGCAUUUGUCUUGCAACUGUGAGCCAAAAGUUCUUUCAAGAUGAAAAUAGUAGGGC
This is a long non-coding RNA of Asparagus officinalis (garden asparagus), 1489 nucleotides long. RefSeq lists it as uncharacterized. NCBI's taxonomy places the organism in Eukaryota, Viridiplantae, Streptophyta, Magnoliopsida, Asparagales, Asparagaceae. The transcript has 4 exons. The record is from RefSeq and is a predicted model, not a curated record.